UCUUGCCUUAGUUAUGCGGAAGUUCCCUGUUCCCUGUGGCCCGAGUGGGUCAAGGGGAAAGAAGAGGAGGGGGCUUGCUCUGUGGGGGCUCUGAAAUACCUAACACAAAAUAACCAAAUAUUUACUGGCUAUGAUUAUUAAAUAUUGUUCUAUACUAGUGCUCUAUUCGUUUAUAUUGUAUGUUACUGAACUCAUGGAAAAUCAUAUCAUUUCCCCUACACAUCAUAAUUCUUUUUUUUUUUUUUUUUUUUUUGGUACCCGGGAUCGAACUUGGGACGUUGGCGCUUGUGAGGCAGGCAGCGGCACCACUGAGCUAAACCACCGGCCCAAAGGAUUAGAAGUCCCAUUUGACCCAGCUAUUCCCCUGCUGGGUAUCUUCCCAAAAGAAUUAAAAGCAUCAUACCACAGUGAUAUAUGUGCACCCAUGUUUAUAGCGGCA
This 439-nucleotide long non-coding RNA is filed under the name Heterocephalus glaber (naked mole-rat). RNAcentral's name for it is "lncRNA (ENSHGLG00100039178.1)". Lineage: Eukaryota; Metazoa; Chordata; Mammalia; Rodentia; Bathyergidae. The record is from RNAcentral.